Molecule: ribosomal RNA, 908 nt
Filed under: uncultured archaeon
Lineage: Archaea
Description: bacterial SSU rRNA
Rfam family: Archaeal small subunit ribosomal RNA
Source: RNAcentral
UUCCGGUUGAUCCUGCCGGAGGCCACUGCUAUUGGGAUCCGACUAAGCCAUGCGAGUCGAGAGGGUUCGGCCCUCGGCAGACUGCUCAGUAACACGUGGAUAACCUACCCUCAGGCGGAGAAUAACCUCGGGAAACUGAGAAUAAUACUCCAUAGAUCUAGGAUGCUGGAAUGCAUCUAGAUUGAAAGCUCCGGCGCCUAAGGAUGGGUCUGCGGACUAUCAGGUUGUAGUCAGGGUAAAGACCUGACUAGCCUACGACGGAUAUGGGUUGUGAGAGCAAUAGCCCAGAGACGAUAUCUGAGACACGAUAUCGGGCCCUACGGGGCGCAGCAGGCGCGAAAUCUUCACAAUGUGCGAAAGCACGAUGAGGGGAUCCCAAGUGCUGGCACGUAAGUGUCAGCUGUUUCUUUGUCUAAAAAACAAAGAGAGUAAGAGCUGGGUAAGACGGGUGCCAGCCGCCGCGGUAAUACCUGCAGCUCAAGUGGUGGCCGCUAUUAUUGGGCCUAAAACGUCCGUAGCCGGUUUAGUAAAUGCUUGGGUAAAUUGUGUAGCUUGACUAUACGAAUACCGGGUAGACUGCUAAACUUGGGACCGGGAGAGGCUAGAGGUACUCCUAGGGUAGAGGUGAAAUUCUGUAAUCCUAGGGGGACCACCAGUGGCGAAAGCGUCUAGCUAGAACGGGUCUGACGGUGAGGGACGAAGCCCUGGGGCGCGAACCGGAUUAGAUACCCGGGUAGUCCAGGGUGUAAACGCUGCUCGCUUGAUGUUAGUUGGGCUCCGAGCCCAACUAGUGUCGGAGAGAAGUUGUUAAGCAAGCUGCCUGGGAAGUACGGUCGCAGACUGAACUUAAAGGAAUUGGCGGGGGGAGCACAGCACGGGUGGAGCGUGCGGUUAAUUGAUCACGCCGU